This 401-nucleotide ribosomal RNA is filed under the name uncultured bacterium. RNAcentral's name for it is "bacterial SSU rRNA". It matches the Rfam family "Bacterial small subunit ribosomal RNA", at positions 356 to 774 of the family's 1533-position model. The record is from RNAcentral.
GGGGAAUCUUGCACAAUGGGGGCAACCCUGAUGCAGCGACGCCGCGUGAGCGAUGAAGCCCUUCGGGGCGUAAAGCUCUUUCGACCGGAACGAUAAUGACGGUACCGGGAGAAGAAGCUGCGGCUAACUACGUGCCAGCAGCCGCGGUAAUACGUAGGCAGCAAGCGUUGUUCGGAGUUACUGGGCGUAAAGAGUGCGUAGGCGGUUUUCUAAGUUCGGUGUGAAAUCUCCCGGCUUAACUGGGAGGGUGCGCCGAAGACUGGGAAGCUGGAGUGUGGGAAAGGCAGGCGGAAUUCGUGGUGUAGCGGUGAAAUGCGUAGAUAUCAGGAGGAACACCGGCGGUGUAGACGGCUUGCUAGACCAUAACGGACGCUGAGGCACGAAAGCGUGGGUAGCAAACA